CGCCCUUCCCUGGCAAGGUUUGGAUGUAUAUAGAUUGAUGGUUUUGUGGGUUUUGCAUGCAAGCUAAUCUUCAACGAAAGGGCUUCUAUAGCAGUGCUUGUGUGUAGGGUUUGGUUUUGAGGUUUCGGCCUGGAGCUGCAAUGAUGAUAGCCGAACGCAAUUUGGAGGCCUCUAGUUGGUGUUUCGUCUCUUAGGUCUACGAUUUGGUUUUGCAUUACAAGAGGGUUCCCUUGCGUUUGGUUGUCUUCGCCCCUCCAGAAAUUGUUUCUACACCACAGCUGGAAAGGCCUUCCUGAUGGCUUAAAAUGCCAUAAGAACUGCGGCAGCCCCAUUUUGCCCGUGUAGAACUGGGUUUUAUUAUUCUGCUAAGAUUUUGGAAGUUUGAUUAGUUGUAGCGGGCUUGGAUGGGCAACUUUGGUUGUUCCUUAGUUG
Molecule: unclassified non-coding RNA, 432 nt
Filed under: Hevea brasiliensis (rubber tree)
Lineage: Eukaryota; Viridiplantae; Streptophyta; Magnoliopsida; Malpighiales; Euphorbiaceae
Source: RNAcentral